Non-coding RNA from Maylandia zebra (zebra mbuna), 239 nucleotides. NCBI's taxonomy places the organism in Eukaryota, Metazoa, Chordata, Actinopteri, Cichliformes, Cichlidae. The record is from RefSeq and is a predicted model, not a curated record.
CAGAGGUUCAGUUCCUCUCCAGGUGCUCUGCUGACUAAUGAUUUGACUUCAGCCAGAGAAAGGACUGAAUGAGUCACACAUCCUGACUCACAUCACAUCCCAUCCAAACAUGACUCGGCUCAGUUGGACUGCUUUGGUUUUGUUAAUGAGCAUUUUGCAGGGUCCAGGGUCAUCCAAUUCUGGACAUGACCGUUCAAGAAAUGGAAAUUCCAAUAAAAAUAAUUUCAUGAAAUAUUCAA